AUACGGAGGGUCCAAGCGUUAUUCGGAAUCAUUGGGUUUAAAGGGUCCGCAGGCGGUCAAUUAAGUCAGAGGUGAAAGCCCAUCGCUCAACGAUGGAACUGCCUUUGAUACUGGUUGACUUGAGUUAUACGGAAGUAGAUAGAAUAAGUAGUGUAGCGGUGAAAUGCAUAGAUAUUACUUAGAAUACCGAUUGCGAAGGCAGUCUACUACGUAUAUACUGACGCUGAGGGACGAAAGCGUGGGGAGCGAACAGGAUUAGAUACCCUAGUAGUCC
Molecule: ribosomal RNA, 274 nt
Filed under: uncultured bacterium
Lineage: Bacteria
Description: partial 16S ribosomal RNA
Rfam family: Bacterial small subunit ribosomal RNA
Source: RNAcentral